GUGAGGAAUAUUGGACAAUGGGCGCAAGCCUGAUCCAGCCAUGCCGCGUGCAGGAAGACGCAUCUAUGGUGUGUAAACUGCUUUUGUACGGGAAGAAACACUCCCUCGUGAGGGAGCUUGACGGUACCGUAAGAAUAAGGAUCGGCUAACUCCGUUCCAGCAGCCGCGGUAAUACGGAGGAACCAAGCUUUAUCCGGAAACAUUGGGUUUAAAGUGUCCGUAGGCGGUUUGAUAAGUCAGAGGUGAAAGCCCAUAGCUCAACGAUGGAACGGCCAUUGAUACUGUUAGACUUGAAUUACAAGGAAGUAACUAGAAUAUGUGGUGUAGCGGUGAAAUGCAUAGAUAUUAGGAGGAACACCAGUGGCGAAGGCGGCUUUCUGGACUGUAACUGACACUGAGGUACGAAGGCGUGGGGAGCAAACAGGAUUAGAUACCCCUGUAGUCC
RNAcentral lists this ribosomal RNA (445 nucleotides) under uncultured bacterium. RNAcentral's name for it is "partial 16S ribosomal RNA". It matches the Rfam family "Bacterial small subunit ribosomal RNA", at positions 354 to 796 of the family's 1533-position model. The record is from RNAcentral.